GGGGCAGAGGAACUCCUCAGGAACCCCGACUCUCCGGACGCCUGGAAAACGCUUCGGAUUGGACACAAUUUCCUGUCCCAAAGGAGAUGUCUCCCAGAAGGAAGUAGAAGACUCAAGCCAGGAGAAGACACAGGACUGAUUCAAGGCUGUGGGAGUUCUUGAGUUUUCUCCAUGGACUCCCAGUAUUCCACAAAGACACUGGUUCUCAGUCCUGUGUAUGAAGAAUGGUCA
Neogale vison (American mink) is the source of this 231-nucleotide long non-coding RNA. RefSeq lists it as uncharacterized. Lineage: Eukaryota; Metazoa; Chordata; Mammalia; Carnivora; Mustelidae. The record is from RefSeq and is a predicted model, not a curated record. The transcript is spliced from 3 exons.